RNAcentral lists this transfer RNA (80 nucleotides) under Dreissena polymorpha. It matches the Rfam family "tRNA". From Rfam's summary of the family: Transfer RNA (tRNA) molecules are approximately 80 nucleotides in length. Their secondary structure includes four short double-helical elements and three loops (D, anti-codon, and T loops). Lineage: Eukaryota; Metazoa; Mollusca; Bivalvia; Myida; Dreissenidae. The record is from Rfam by way of RNAcentral.
GCCGAAAUAGCUCAGUUAGGAGAGCGUUAGACUGAUGUUUACGCAACAGUGAUCUAAAGGUUCAAUCCCGGGUUCCGGCA